Molecule: ribosomal RNA, 505 nt
Filed under: uncultured bacterium
Lineage: Bacteria
Description: partial 16S ribosomal RNA
Rfam family: Bacterial small subunit ribosomal RNA
Source: RNAcentral
GACGAACGCUGGCGGCGUGCCUAAUACAUGCAAGUAGAACGCACAGUUUAUACCGUAGCUUGCUACACCAUAAACUGUGAGUUGCGAACGGGUGAGUAACGCGUAGGUAACCUGCCUGGUAGCGGGGGAUAACUAUUGGAAACGAUAGCUAAUACCGCAUAAUAUUAAUUAUUGCAUGAUAAUUGAUUGAAAGAUGCAAUUGCAUCACUACCAGAUGGACCUGCGUUGUAUUAGCUAGUAGGUGAGGUAACGGCUCACCUAGGCGACGAUACAUAGCCGACCUGAGAGGGUGAUCGGCCAAACUGGGACUGAGACACGGCCCAGACUCCUACGGGAGGCAGCAGUAGGGAAUCUUCGGCAAUGGACGAAAGUCUGACCGAGCAACGCCGCGUGAGUGAAGAAGGUUUUCGGAUCGUAAAGCUCUGUUGUAAGAGAAGAAAGGGUGUGAGAGUGGAAAGUUCACACUGUGACGGUAUCUUACCAGAAAGGGACGGCUAACUACGUG